Molecule: ribosomal RNA, 253 nt
Filed under: uncultured bacterium
Lineage: Bacteria
Description: partial 16S ribosomal RNA
Rfam family: Bacterial small subunit ribosomal RNA
Source: RNAcentral
UACGUAGGGGGCAAGCGUUAUCCGGAUUUACUGGGUGUAAAGGGAGCGUAGACGGCAGUGCAAGUCCGGAGUGCAAGCCCGGGGCUCAACCCUGGGACUGCUCUGGAAACUGUAAAGCUGGAGUGCGGGAGGGGCAGGCGGAAUUCCUGGUGUAGCGGUGAAAUGCGUAGAUAUCAGGAGGAACACCGGCGGCGAAGGCGGCCUGCUGGACCGUAACUGACGUUGAGGCUCGAAAGCGUGGGGAGCAAACAGG